UGCAUUCUUCUACAUGUUGACCUCCAGUU
Molecule: non-coding RNA, 29 nt
Filed under: Rattus norvegicus (Norway rat)
Lineage: Eukaryota; Metazoa; Chordata; Mammalia; Rodentia; Muridae
Source: RNAcentral